Passer domesticus (house sparrow) is the source of this 1709-nucleotide long non-coding RNA. RefSeq lists it as uncharacterized. The transcript is spliced from 2 exons. Lineage: Eukaryota; Metazoa; Chordata; Aves; Passeriformes; Passeridae. The record is from RefSeq and is a predicted model, not a curated record.
GUUGGGCAAAGGCCAGUGCUGAAUUUGGGUUCGCCACACGCUCAGCACCGCAUGGAGGCAGCAAUGACAUCAGAGCAAGCCUUGGCUGCCCCUUGCAAAGCUCAGGCUCAGGGACGGCUUGAAGCUGGAGUCCAAGGGUGAGGGGGAACCUGAAGGUACUCCUUCUGUGGGUCAUUUGGUUGAUUAAGUCUUGGCUGGUUUGGGUCUGCACUUCUUGUUGCACUGCAGAAAAUCCAGCUGUCGAUUCCUCCUGUCUUGGGAGGGACAGCGGCCUCGUCAGCGCCGCUUGCCGCAAUGCCCAGGCCAUGGUACCCUGCUUGUGCUGAGGGGCAGUGGCUUCUGCUUAAUGUGUGCAAUGUCUUGUUUUUCUGAAGAGACAGAUUCUGAGACUGUGCCGGAGACCUUAGCUGUGGAAGAAAGUGACAUUGUGCCAGGCUCACAUGAAAAAAGAGAACCAAUAGAGGACACCAGGACACUUGCUGAGCCUGAAGAAUAUUCAGGGUCAUCCGGUGGGCAAAAAGCCCAGACUGCUGGACACUGUGACCCGAGCAAGUACUACAUCCUAGUAGGGACAGUAGCAGCCUCAGCUUUGCUUCUGCUUGGGGCAGUGUCUGGCUAUCUAGUCAUGCAUCAGCUGCUGAAGAGAGACAGGUGAGUUAUUAAUUGCUGCCAUUGGCAAGGAAGUCUUUGCAGCAUGCAGGAGCGCCCAGGUGGCUCCUAGCAGGGCUCUGAGGAAACUGUGCUCCAAAUUGCUAUCUGUGAGGAGUCUUCUUGGAAAUCUGUUUCUGCAGGAGGAGCCAGGAGGACAAAGAGGCAACAGGACAGGACUGGGACUCUUCCUGGGAAAGCUGUGGUCAGCCUAGAGGUGAAGCAGAGCCAGGAGAAGGAGCGGGAAGCGGCGAGAGAGCCCAAGGCAACGGGUUCAGGGACAGCUGCCGCCUGUUUCCUGAGCUCUUUGCAGCAGAGCUCGCCCGGCUGUACAAGAACAUGAGCGCAUACCCGUCACCUCUGCCCACCUGCUCCUUCUGUGCUCUGGCUGACAACGCCUCUUCACGGGACCACUGGAUUUCCCUGGAGUCACCUCAGCCCACAGCAUCCUCUUGGCCCUCCUACCACCAAUACCUGCAGGACUACUAUCUCUUAGAGGAUGAUGAUUAGUGAUAGUGAUAGCCAUAGAUAGUGAUAGUGAUAGCCAUAGAUAGUGAUAGUGGUAGUGAUUCUUUUAGUGAUAGUGAUAGGGACACUUGAUAUUAGAGGGUGGUGGUUGUUUUAAUGAUAGUGAUAGUUAAUAUUAGAGGAUAGUGAUGGUUUUAAUGAUAGCGUUCUUUAAUAUUAGGGGAUAGUGAUUGUUUCAAUGAUAGCGUUACUUGAUAUUAGAGGAGGGUGAUUGUAUUAGUGAUAGUGAUAGUCAUAAAUAGUGAUAGUGGUAGUGAUUCUUUUAGUGAUAGUGAUAGGGAUACUUGAUAUUAGAGGGUGGUGGUUGUUUCAAUGAUAGUGAUAGUUAAUAUUAGAGGAUAGUGAUUGUUUUAAUGAUAGCGUUCUUUGAUAUUAGAGGACAGUGAUUGUAUUAGCGAUAGUGAUAGUUAAUAUUGGAGGAUGGUGAUUGUUUUUGUGAUAGUGGUACAUUUAGUGAUAGUGAUACUUGGUAUUAGCAGACAAUGAUUGUUUUCUUGAUCUUGAUAAAUAAAUAUUUUUCCAAAAGCAGUAAA